This 468-nucleotide ribosomal RNA is filed under the name uncultured bacterium. RNAcentral describes it as "partial 16S ribosomal RNA". It matches the Rfam family "Bacterial small subunit ribosomal RNA", at positions 28 to 507 of the family's 1533-position model. The record is from RNAcentral.
GACGAACGCUGGCGGCGAGCUUAACACAUGCAAGUCGAACGGAAAGGCCCUGCUUUUGUGGGGUGCUCGGGUGGCGAACGGGUGAGUAACACGUGAGUAACCUGCCCUUGACUUUGGGAUAACUUCAGGAAACUGGGGCUAAUACCGGAUAGGAGCUCCUGCUGCAUGGUGGGGGUUGGAAAGUUUCGGCGGUUGGGGAUGGACUCGCGGCUUAUCAGCUUGUUGGUGGGGUAGUGGCUUACCAAGGCUUUGACGGGUAGCCGGCCUGAGAGGGUGACCGGCCACAUUGGGACUGAGAUACGGCCCAGACUCCUACGGGAGGCAGCAGUGGGGAAUAUUGCACAAUGGGCGGAAGCCUGAUGCAGCAACGCCGCGUGCGGGAUGACGGCCUUCGGGUUGUAAACCGCUUUCGCCUGUGACGAAGCGUGAGUGACGGUAAUGGGUAAAGAAGCACCGGCUAACUACGUG